AUGACCAAAAUGGUCUGUUGACCACUUUAGGAGUUAUUGCCCUUUAUAGUCAAUUUUUAACCAUUUUUCGUAAAUCUUAGUAAUCUUUUAGAAAAUCUUCUCUGAAACUACUGGGCCAAAUUUAACCAAACUUAGCCAUAAUCAUCAUUGGGGUAUCUAGUUUAAAAAAUGUGUCCGGUGACCCGCCCAACCAACCAAGAUGGCCGCAAUGGC
This 213-nucleotide long non-coding RNA is filed under the name Mytilus galloprovincialis (Mediterranean mussel). The record is from RNAcentral. Lineage: Eukaryota; Metazoa; Mollusca; Bivalvia; Mytilida; Mytilidae.